Molecule: ribosomal RNA, 504 nt
Filed under: Schaalia georgiae
Lineage: Bacteria; Bacillati; Actinomycetota; Actinomycetes; Actinomycetales; Actinomycetaceae
Description: bacterial SSU rRNA
Rfam family: Bacterial small subunit ribosomal RNA
Source: RNAcentral
UACCUAGGCGACGAUACAUAGCCGACCUGAGAGGGUGAUCGGCCACACUGGGACUGAGACACGGCCCAGACUCCUACGGGAGGCAGCAGUAGGGAAUCUUCGGCAAUGGGGGGAACCCUGACCGAGCAACGCCGCGUGAGUGAAGAAGGUUUUCGGAUCGUAAAGCUCUGUUGUUAAGGAAGAACGAGUGUGAGAACGGAAAGUUCAUACUGUGACGGUACUUAACCAGAAAGGGACGGCUAACUACGUGCCAGCAGCCGCGGUAAUACGUAGGUCCCGAGCGUUGUCCGGAUUUAUUGGGCGUAAAGCGAGCGCAGGCGGUUAGAAAAGUCUGAAGUGAAAGGCAGUGGCUCAACCAUUGUAGGCUUUGGAAACUGUUUAACUUGAGUGCAGAAGGGGAGAGUGGAAUUCCAUGUGUAGCGGUGAAAUGCGUAGAUAUAUGGAGGAACACCGGUGGCGAAAGCGGCUCUCUGGUCUGUAACUGACGCUGAGGCUCGAAAGCGU